Molecule: ribosomal RNA, 401 nt
Filed under: uncultured bacterium
Lineage: Bacteria
Description: bacterial SSU rRNA
Rfam family: Bacterial small subunit ribosomal RNA
Source: RNAcentral
CGGGAAUUUUGGGCAAUGGGCGAAAGCCUGACCCAGCAACGCCGCGUGAGGGAUGAAGUAUUUCGGUAUGUAAACCUCGAAAGAAUGGGAAGAAUAAAUGACGGUACCAUUUAUAAGCUCCGGCUAACUACGUGCCAGCAGCCGCGGUAAUACGUAGGGAGCAAGCGUUGUUCGGAUUUCCUGGGCGUAAAGGGCGCGUAGGCGGCGCGGUAAGUCACUUGUGAAAUCUCUGAGCUUAACUCAGAACGGCCAAGUGAUACUGCUGUGCUAGAGUGCGGAAGAGGCAACCGGAAUUCUUGGGGUAGCGGUGAAAUGCGUAGAUAUCAAGAGAAACACCUGAGGCGAAGGCGGGUUGCUAGGCCGACACUGACGCUGAUGCGCGAAAGCCAGGGGAGCAAACG